GUGGGCUACGGGGACAUGUGUCCCAUCACAAUGGGUGGCAAAAUGGUCGGCACCCUCUGUGCCAUCGCUGGGGUGCUGACCAUCGCCUUGCCUGUUCCAGUCAUCGUCUCCAAC
Molecule: non-coding RNA, 114 nt
Organism: Tetraodon nigroviridis (spotted green pufferfish)
Lineage: Eukaryota; Metazoa; Chordata; Actinopteri; Tetraodontiformes; Tetraodontidae
Source: Rfam